RNAcentral lists this ribosomal RNA (460 nucleotides) under uncultured bacterium. RNAcentral's name for it is "partial 16S ribosomal RNA". It matches the Rfam family "Bacterial small subunit ribosomal RNA", at positions 338 to 795 of the family's 1533-position model. The record is from RNAcentral.
CCUACGGGUGGCAGCAGUGAGGAAUAUUGGUCAAUGGGCGCGAGUCUGAACCAGCCAUGUAGCGUGAAUGAUGACUGCCCUCUGGUUUGUAAACUUCUUUUAUAUGGAAGUAAAAUGUUCCACGUGUGACCAUUUGUAUGUACCUUAUGAAUAAGGAUCGGCUAACUCAGGACCAGCAGCCGCGGUAAUACGGAGGGUCCGAGCGUUAUCCGGAUGUAUUUGGGUUAAAGGGAUCGUAGGUGGGUUGUUAAGUCAGUUGUGAAAGUUUGCGGCUCAACCGUGAAAUUGCAUUUGAUACUGGCAGGCUUGAGUACAGUAGAGGUGGGCAGAAUUCGUGGUGUAGCGGUGAAAUGCUUAGAUAUCACGAAGAACUCCGAUUGCGAAGGCAGCUCACUGGACUGCAACUGACAUUGAUGUUCGAAAGUGUGGGUAGCAAACAGGAUUAGAUACCCCUGUAGUC